CUAGUUGGUGAGGUAACGGCUCGCCGAGGCGACGAUGCGUAGCCGACCUGAGAGGGUGAUCGGCCACACUGGGACUGAGACACGGCCCAGACUCCUACGAGGAGGCAGCAGUAGGGAAUCUUCCGCAGUGGACGAAAGUUAGACGGAGCAACGCCGCGUGAGUGAUGAAGGUUUUCGGAUCGUAAAACUCUGUUGUUAGGGAAGAACAAGUACGAGAGUAACUGCUCGUACCUUGACGGUACCUAACCAGAAAGCCACGGCUAACUACGUGCCAGCAGCCGCGGUAAUACGUAGGUGGCAAGCGUUGUCCGGAAUUAUUGGGCGUAAAGCGCGCGCAGGCGGUCCUUUAAGUCUGAUGUGAAAGCCCACGGCUCAACCGUGGAGGGUCAUUGGAAACUGGGGGACUUGAGUGCAGAAGAGAAGAGUGGAAUUCCACGUGUAGCGGUGAAAUGCGUAGAGAUGUGGAGGAACACCAGUGGCGAAGGCGACUCUUUGGUCUGUAACUGACGCUGAGGCGCGAAAGCGUGGGGAGCAAACAGGAUUAGAUACCCUGGUAGUCCACGCCGUAAACGAUGAGUGCUAAGUGU
RNAcentral lists this ribosomal RNA (587 nucleotides) under Niallia nealsonii. RNAcentral describes it as "bacterial SSU rRNA". It matches the Rfam family "Bacterial small subunit ribosomal RNA", at positions 245 to 823 of the family's 1533-position model. Lineage: Bacteria; Bacillati; Bacillota; Bacilli; Caryophanales; Bacillaceae. The record is from RNAcentral.